GGUGCUGUAGCUCAGUUGGUAGAGCAUCGGACUGAAAAUCCGUGAGUCGGUGGUUCGAAUCCGCCCAGCACCACUA
This 76-nucleotide transfer RNA is filed under the name Flammeovirgaceae bacterium TMED262. Its description in RNAcentral is "tRNA-Phe". It matches the Rfam family "tRNA". From Rfam's summary of the family: Transfer RNA (tRNA) molecules are approximately 80 nucleotides in length. Their secondary structure includes four short double-helical elements and three loops (D, anti-codon, and T loops). The record is from RNAcentral. RNAcentral also lists the same sequence under 2 other names. Lineage: Bacteria; Pseudomonadati; Bacteroidota; Cytophagia; Cytophagales; Flammeovirgaceae.